UACGGAGGAUUCGAGCGUUAUCCGGAUUUAUUGGGUUUAAAGGGUGCGUAGGCGGUUUGAUAAGUUAGAGGUGAAAUGUUAGGGCUUAACCCUGAAACUGCCUCUAAUACUGUUGAGCUAGAGAGUAGUUGCGGUAGGCGGAAUGUAUGGUGUAGCGGUGAAAUGCAUAGAUAUCACGCAGAACUCCGAUUGCGAAGGCAGCUUACUAAGCCAUAACUGACACUGAAGCACGAAAGCGUGGGGAUCAAACAGG
Molecule: ribosomal RNA, 253 nt
Filed under: uncultured Rikenellaceae bacterium
Lineage: Bacteria; Pseudomonadati; Bacteroidota; Bacteroidia; Bacteroidales; Rikenellaceae
Description: partial 16S ribosomal RNA
Rfam family: Bacterial small subunit ribosomal RNA
Source: RNAcentral